GGGGAAUUAGCUCAGUUGGUAGAGCGUCUGAUUUGCAUUCAGAAGGUCAGGAGUUCGAACCUCCUAUUCUCCA
RNAcentral lists this transfer RNA (73 nucleotides) under Simkaniaceae bacterium. RNAcentral's name for it is "tRNA-Ala". It matches the Rfam family "tRNA". From Rfam's summary of the family: Transfer RNA (tRNA) molecules are approximately 80 nucleotides in length. Their secondary structure includes four short double-helical elements and three loops (D, anti-codon, and T loops). The record is from RNAcentral. Lineage: Bacteria; Pseudomonadati; Chlamydiota; Chlamydiia; Parachlamydiales; Simkaniaceae.